Molecule: RNA transcript, 2140 nt
Organism: Camellia sinensis
Lineage: Eukaryota; Viridiplantae; Streptophyta; Magnoliopsida; Ericales; Theaceae
Source: RefSeq, a predicted model, not a curated record
UGCUAUAAGUGAAGCCGAAAAAAGUCAUGGAUUAGAUUGAGAAGUACCUCCUUCUCUCUAGAAACGUCGUUUCUAGGGUUUUAGCUCUCAACACUUUGUUGACCAGCGGUGAUCUCUCUUUUAUCCAUGGAAAUCUCUCUUUUGUUUAUGAUUCGUUGAGAGCUAAGGGUUCUGUUGUGGUAGAAACUGAUUGUAUCAGUUCUAAGAUUGUUAAUCUCUCGAAGGACAUCUCUGAGAAGGGUGUUAGUGCAGGGUCAAGGGUUUCGGCGGAAUCGAUUCAAGAAAUUUCGGAUCGAUUUAGCGACCUUGUUGCACAACUUCGUCCAGAUCCUCAUUCGACUUCGGUGGGUCCAAGUCUGAAAUGAUCGGAUCUGGUAAAUGGAGAAGAGAGCUCUAUGGUGUUGUUUCUCCCCGAAAUCUCAUGGUUGCACAAUCUAGUGGUGUUAGCAGAGAUGAUAAAAUGUUAGAACAGGGGUUGCAAGUCCAGGCUACCGAAGUUCAUACAAGCUUUGAGGGGAUAGGACCAAAUCCUGAUCUGAAGGAACAGGGCUCAGAUGUUAGUGAAGCUGCUCUAGAUACGGGGGAUCUGAACUCUAAUGUCACUAAUUAGAGGUUUCAGUAUGCUCGGGGUGGUUACCACGGUCAUGGUAGAGGCGUUGCAGCCAAUUUCAAGGGAGGUCGUGGAAUGAAUAGGGGCCAAGAUACCAGAACAUAGGCAAAUGUUACGGCAGCCCCAGUUCGAUUUGAGGUAAAGCUUCAAUACUUUCCUCCUAAACUAUCUCAAGAUAAAAUCAUUGUUGAAAUGCCCCCUGUCUCUCAACUCGCUAAAUGGGAGUCAAGUUUGGUAGGGUACUUUAUAGAUAAACGACUUCCGUAUACCCUCAUUAAGAAUAGUGCUUUUAAUAUGUGGAAAAACAAGGGGCUUCUGGAGGUUCAAAUGAAUGAUAAUGGUUUUGCUUUCUUCAUUUUCAAGAAUCAAGAUUGCUGUAGAAAUGUUCUGGAUGGAGGUCCCUGAUAUAUUGGGUGUUUCUUGCUUAUUCUUAAGUUCUGGCAUCGGAUGAUGAAAUUAUCUAAAGAAGACAAGAAGACCAUUCCUGUAUGGGUGAAGUUUUACAAUGUGCCGAUGGAAUAUUGAACUGGAGAGGGCCUGAGUAGAAUUGCAAGUGCUGUGGGAGUUCCCUUAUCAUGGAUCAACUAACUUCUUCAGGGGAGAGAAGUUCUUUUGCUAGAGCUUGUGUGAAUAUACAAGCUGAGUCUUCUUUUCCUGAGAGUUUUUUUAUAACUAGUGAAGGAGAAUCUGUUGAAAUUAGAAUGGAAUAUCAAGGUGUUCCGACUAUGUGCUCCCAUUGUUGUGUCUUUGGACAUGAAACUAAAAUCUGCCUAUCUGCCCGAGUGUCAAAACUGUCUGAAACUCAAGUAAGUACUGCAGACAACCCUAGCAAGGGAGAUGGCUGGACUACAAUAAAGGAUAAGGGUAAGAGGAAGGUUGGUGAACCCCGUCUUGCAAUUAGCCCUGUAUUACCAGUUAAAAUAUCCAGUUCAUCUGCUGAAGGAGGUACUGAAAUGAGGACUGUAACUGCUGAAGACUUUUCUAAUAAGGCUACAGCUCAAGUGGAGAUUGUCCUUUCUGCUGCACUGGACAUUGCGAAACUUAGCCACCCUGGAGCUGGAGAGAUCUUUCAAGGAGUGGAAAAAGCUGCGGUAUUAGGGGAACUAUCAACCGUAGUGCCCUUUAGCCAUAUGGAAAGAACCAAUGCAACUGGGAGUUCCACAAAGAAUAAAUCUUCUGGCAAAUCUGGCAGCCAGAAGAAGAAGAAGAGGUAACGUAACUCGCACACAUGGAGCUUUCAUCACUAAGCAUCACAGUUUGGUGGUUCUUCACACGACUUAAGAAUCAAUCAGCAUGCUGUUGAGGCAGCAAAGCAUAUAGGAAGCCUUAUGUUAGUAUUGGCAGUGUAAAACCAAUUACUAGUUGGACAUUUUGUUGUCAUGCUGAAUUCAGUGGAGUUGUAAAUGUACUGCACUUGCUCGUUGCUGCUAAAUUUGAGCUGCCAGUUCAUGUGGUUCAGCAAUUUUGAACUAACAGUACACUAGAAACAUUGUAUAUGGUAACACAUCUUAUAUUAUUCAAUUUGCAUAA